UGCCGUCUACUCUUGGACAGCCGUCUGAAAGGAAGAUUAAUACAAGAUGGCAUCAUGAGUCCGCAUGUUCACAUGAUUAAAGGUAUUCCGGUAGACGAUGGGGAUGCGUUCCAUUAGAUAGUAGGCGGGGUAACGGCCCACCUAGUCUUCGAUGGAUAGGGGUUCUGAGAGGAAGGUCCCCCACAUUGGAACUGAGACACGGUCCAAACUCCUA
Molecule: ribosomal RNA, 214 nt
Filed under: uncultured bacterium
Lineage: Bacteria
Description: partial 16S ribosomal RNA
Rfam family: Bacterial small subunit ribosomal RNA
Source: RNAcentral